ACGAACGCUGGCGGCGUGCCUAAUACAUGCAAGUUGAGCGCUGAAGGUUGGUACUUGUACCAACUGGAUGAGCAGCGAACGGGUGAGUAACGCGUGGGGAAUCUGCCUUUGAGCGGGGGACAACAUUUGGAAACGAAUGCUAAUACCGCAUAAAAACUUUAAACACAAGUUUUAAGUUUGAAAGAUGCAAUUGCAUCACUCAAAGAUGAUCCCGCGUUGUAUUAGCUAGUUGGUGAGGUAAAGGCUCACCAAGGCGAUGAUACAUAGCCGACCUGAGAGGGUGAUCGGCCACAUUGGGACUGAGACACGGCCCAAACUCCUACGGGAGGCAGCAGUAGGGAAUCUUCGGCAAUGGACGAAAGUCUGACCGAGCAACGCCGCGGGAGUGAAGAAGGGUGUCGGAUCGUAAAACUCUGUUGGUAGAGAAGAACGUUGGUGAGAGUGGAAAGCUCAUCAAGUGACGGUAACUACCCAGAAAGGGACGGCUAACUACGUG
This 496-nucleotide ribosomal RNA is filed under the name uncultured bacterium. RNAcentral describes it as "partial 16S ribosomal RNA". It matches the Rfam family "Bacterial small subunit ribosomal RNA", at positions 29 to 507 of the family's 1533-position model. The record is from RNAcentral.